This 425-nucleotide ribosomal RNA is filed under the name uncultured bacterium. Its description in RNAcentral is "partial 16S ribosomal RNA". It matches the Rfam family "Bacterial small subunit ribosomal RNA", at positions 354 to 796 of the family's 1533-position model. The record is from RNAcentral.
GUGGGGAAUAUUGGGCAAUGGGCGAAAGCCUGACCCAGCAACGCCGCGUGAAGGAAGAAGGUUUUCGGAUCGUAAACUUCUAUCCUUGGUGAAGAUAAUGACGGUAGCCAAGAAGGAAGCCCCGGCUAACUACGUGCCAGCAGCCGCGGUAAUACGUAGGGGGCAAGCGUUGUCCGGAAUGAUUGGGCGUAAAGGGCGCGUAGGCGGCCCGGUAAGUCUGAAGUGAAAGUCCUGCUUUGACGGUUGGAAUUGCUUUGGAUACUGUCGGGCUUGAGUGCAGGAGAGGUAAGCGGAAUUCCCGGUGUAGCGGUGAAAUGCGUAGAGAUCGGGAGGAACACCAGUGGCGAAGGCGGCUUACUGGACUGUAACUGACGCUGAGGCGCGAAAGUGUGGGGAGCAAACAGGAUUAGAAACCCGGGUAGUCC